CUCUCCCUCUUUCAUUGCCUG
Molecule: small nuclear RNA, 21 nt
Filed under: Arabidopsis thaliana (thale cress)
Lineage: Eukaryota; Viridiplantae; Streptophyta; Magnoliopsida; Brassicales; Brassicaceae
Description: snRNA_13775
Source: RNAcentral